GUCGCCCAGGUGUUCCUCGGUGGAUGAAUGGAUAAAGAAAAUGUAAACACACAGUGGAAUCUUACUCAGCCUUGAAAAGGAAGGAAAGUCCAUCCAACACAUGCUACUGCAUGGACGAACUUUGGACAGUGAGCUAAGUGAAAGGAGACAGUCACAAAAGGACAAAUACCAGAUGAUCCCACCUGCGCGAGAUGAUAUGCACUGUUCGUUUACGGCGGCAAGAGAGCUCAAUUAAUUUCUGAGGGAGGACGGCAGGAUGCGACCCCUUGUGCGUGGCCUAGGAGGAACUGUCCCUGUGUGAAUUUAUGUUCUGGUAAUUUAAAAAGAUUUAUAUUAAGCUUUUCUUUCAUUUUGAGAGUAGAUUAAAAUUCUAAUGGAAACCAUUUGUAUGCAUUUGUUGAAUUGAAGAGUAUUUAUGGCUGUGUAAAAAAAAUGCUGCAAAAUUCUGCCGAUAAUAAAGUCAGUGAAGCAAGAAUAAGUGUAAAAACAGGAAGGAAAUACGCGAUAGAAACCAUACUGUAUUAUACAAGUAUAAUGAGGGAGG
RNAcentral lists this long non-coding RNA (544 nucleotides) under Homo sapiens (human). Its description in RNAcentral is "non-protein coding lnc-DCTD-1:3". Lineage: Eukaryota; Metazoa; Chordata; Mammalia; Primates; Hominidae. The record is from RNAcentral.